GAUGAAGAACGUAGCGAAAUGCGAUAAGUAAUGUGAAUUGCAGAAUUCAGUGAAUCAUCGAAUCUUUGAACGCACAUUGCGCCCGCCAGUAUUCUGGCGGGCAUGCCUGUUCGAGCGUCAUUUCAACCCUCAAGCCCCCGGGCUUGGUGUUGGGGAUCGGCGUGCCCUCGCGGCGCGCCGUCCCCUAAAUCUAGUGGCGGUCUCGCUGUAGCUUCCUCUGCGUAGUAGCAGCACUCGCACUGGAUCGCAGCGCGGCCACGCCGUUAAACCCCCCACUUCUGAAAGUUUGACCUCGGAUCAGGUAGGAAUACCCGCUGAACUUAAGCAUAUCAUAAGCGGAGGA
RNAcentral lists this unclassified non-coding RNA (343 nucleotides) under soil metagenome. RNAcentral's name for it is "partial contains 5.8S ribosomal RNA, internal transcribed spacer 2, and large subunit ribosomal RNA". The stretch from base 1 to 120 matches the Rfam family "5.8S ribosomal RNA", at positions 35 to 154 of the family's 154-position model. The record is from RNAcentral.